ACUCAAAGGAAUAGACGGGGGCCCGCACAAGCGGUGGAGCAUGUGGUUCAAUUCGACGCAACGCGAAGAACCUUACCUGGGCUCGAAAUGCAGGAGACCGGGGUGGAAACAUCCCUUCCCCUUAAAAGGCUGCUGCAUAGGUGCUGCAUGGCUGUCGUCAGCUCGUGUCGUGAGAUGUUGGGUUAAGUCCCGCAACGAGCGCAACCCUUAUCCCUAGUUGCCAUCGGGUCAAGCCGGGCACUCUAGUGAAACUGCCUCGGAUAACGAGGAGGAAGGUGGGGAUGACGUCAAGUCCUCAUGGCCUUUAUGUCCAGGGCUACACACGUGCUACAAUGGUCGGUACAAACCGUCGCAAACCCGUGAGGGGGAGCUAAUCGGAAAAAGCCGGCCUCAGUUCGGAUUGGAGUCUGCAACUCGACUCCAUGAAGCUGGAAUCGCUAGUAAUCGCGGAUCAGAACGCCGCGGUGAAUACGUUCCCGGGCCUUGUACACACCGCCCGU
Molecule: ribosomal RNA, 500 nt
Filed under: uncultured bacterium
Lineage: Bacteria
Description: partial 16S ribosomal RNA
Rfam family: Bacterial small subunit ribosomal RNA
Source: RNAcentral